RNAcentral lists this transfer RNA (69 nucleotides) under Labrus bergylta (ballan wrasse). It matches the Rfam family "tRNA". Rfam says of the family: Transfer RNA (tRNA) molecules are approximately 80 nucleotides in length. Their secondary structure includes four short double-helical elements and three loops (D, anti-codon, and T loops). RNAcentral also lists the same sequence under 1 other name. The record is from Rfam by way of RNAcentral. Lineage: Eukaryota; Metazoa; Chordata; Actinopteri; Labriformes; Labridae.
AGGCAAUUAGUUCAAUAAAAACAUUUGAUUUCGGCUCAAAAGCUUGUGGUUAAAGUCCAUAAUUACCUA